AACAGCCUUCGUCGAACGGAGAGGAGGAAUAUCGCCUCCGUAUUGGGGUUGCCUAUUUGCCUUGCCUGGUCUCAAGGAAAUUCCUCGAAAAUUCCUCGUACAUUUCUCGUAAGGCUGUACUCAACGUUUGACAAUAAGAACGCACCCCUUCCUGACACCAGCUGAUUACAAGCGGCAGCUUGACUAUGUGACCGCUUUCUCCCCGUUAAAAAUUACGAUGUAUUAUGACCUACGUACGAGAGUUUGGUCGACCAGUUGCAGUUCGGGAAACUCAGCAACAACAGCAGGGUUGUAACAUGCGGACAGAGCAACCGAGAUGCGAACUCGAAGGUGGUCCUUUUUCACAGUUGUACGUCUUGUACGGGGAGAGGAAGAGGCAGAAAUAAGAUCGUCCUGCCGGCAGGCCGGAGCAUGCAGUUCAUAUAGCAUUUGUUUCCUUUUCAGGUCUACCUAGAAGCACCUUGGCCUAUGAGGACCAUGCGCGGCUUUCAUACGGAAAGCUUCUUUCUGCACAAACCUCUUCCUCCCCCUCUUAUCACUCCCUUCGCUUUCACCCGCUCAAGUCCAGCCGUCAGUCCCGUUUCCGCCUGCUAGCUCUUGUCUGGCCUAGCGUCGAGGCCUGAACGCUAAGGGAGCUUUUAAUGAACACCACCCUAAGGAAUGACUUACAUCUCCACCUCCAGUCUCUCUCUUACCUGGCACUCUUUAUAGGGCAGGACGCGAAACCCCUGCUGUUCUGUGCUUUUGCCCAGAACGCCGACGCCAAUAGUCAGCGCUUCGGGGUCUCAGUGCCGCUACUGUAGCUGCUACCUCGGCCGACCGCUGUCAUACUUCCCUGUCGUUUGUUCUCCCACCUUCUGACGCGAAUGCUGCCCACUGUCGGACUCCUGAAGUCUCCUAAAGCUUUAAGCUGGACCGCUCCAACCAGCAGCUUUGCCGCCUUCCUCGUCGUCUUUCGCUUUAUUAUAUUUACCGUUCACCAUAAAAACAAACUCACUCGCGGACUAUUGACCUGCCCGCCGCUUACGCCGUCAGCAGCUCUUGCAGCCCGCUCUCCUGUUUUGUCGUCUAUUAAAGGCGGAUAUAGUAAAUUUCUAUUCGGAGGUGGCAGUAGAGGCUGUGGCGCCAGCAGUGGUGCCAAGACUUCGGUGGAACAACGCCACCCCCGCCGUUGAGUAGCUUGAAGGCAGGUAGUUUGGCAAAGCGAACGCAGGCAUGGCAGGCGCUUAUUGGAGCUAGACGAACUCCUGACAGGCCUGGUCCUUCUUAACUCCGCUUUUACUCACCCAUUCACUCCUUUUCUUUGCUAUUUUUUUCUUUCGAAAUUACUGGGGAUACUGGAAUGCUUACCGCCCUUUCCCAAAGAGCAUCUCUUCCCACAGAAUAACGUAUACCGGUUAAGUAAUCAUCUUGUCAACCGCUGGUAGGAAAUGGUGAAAGCUUGCUUUAGCGAAUAGCAGCGCAAGAAGAAGAUACAAUUGAAAGGGACAUUAGGAAAAUGCGGUAACCAGGUUGAACUAGUUGAUAUUAAAGCUAUCACUAAUAAUGGAUA
Molecule: long non-coding RNA, 1552 nt
Filed under: Varroa destructor (honeybee mite)
Lineage: Eukaryota; Metazoa; Arthropoda; Arachnida; Mesostigmata; Varroidae
Description: uncharacterized LOC111244930, transcript variant X1
Source: RNAcentral